CAUUUUGUUUGCUCUUUUAAGCAAACAUUACAAUAAUUGCAAAUUCUAUAAGCAAUUAAACAAAACUUACUGCACAUAGGAUGCAGAAUGAUGUUUUAUUUAGUGUGCAUAUGAUUUUCAGCUUAUGGACAAGAAAACAUAUACUUUAACAAUCACAGCAACACAAUGAGAUCCCAAUUUUAAAGAAAUAAUGCCACCUUUCAUUAAUUCAUUAAUUCAUUCUAUCAAUCAUUCAUAUAUAUAUUCAUUAAUUCAUUCAUUUAUUCAAUUUAUUCAUUGAAAAACUUGACAUUUCUCAAGGCAAAAUAAAUAAAAAGUGAGCAGCUUUCAUAAAGAAUAGAGCCUUUUCCCUUAAUGCAUUAAAAAACACAACCUUAAUACAGUAUAAAUGUUUUAAAAACCCUAAUUUAUUGCUUAUUUUAAUAGCCAGCCUGGUUGCUGUAGCCACAGAGGAAUUUUCAAGGACAAGAACCAGUGCUGGUAAAACUGUGGUCUCUGUGGUUUUCCAUACCGGCUCUCGGCAAGGAUUUUCAAGAAAGGAAUACCAUCUCCAAAUCAUGAUGUGCCAAUAAGCUCCAGUUAGCUGCGGCCUUUUCCCCAGGCGGUAGUCCUGCAAUCUGAAUCCAGGAGAUGCAGCUCUGAAUCCAAUAUUUCAGAAGAAUGAAGAUGAAGCAGACCCAGGAGGAACUGUCUGUUGAAG
Long non-coding RNA from Mya arenaria, 700 nucleotides. RefSeq lists it as uncharacterized. The transcript is spliced from 3 exons. The record is from RefSeq and is a predicted model, not a curated record. Lineage: Eukaryota; Metazoa; Mollusca; Bivalvia; Myida; Myidae.